AGCGAACGCUGGCGGCAGGCCUAACACAUGCAAGUCGAACGAACUCUUCGGAGUUAGUGGCGGACGGGUGAGUAACACGUGGGAACGUGCCUUUUGGUUCGGAAUAACUCAGGGAAACUUGUGCUAAUACCGAAUGUGCCCUUCGGGGGAAAGAUUUAUCGCCAUUAGAGCGGCCCGCGUCUGAUUAGCUAGUUGGUGAGGUAACGGCUCGCCAAGGCGAGGAUCAGUAGCUGGUCUGAGAGGAUGACCAUCCACACUGGGGCUGAGACACGGCCCAGAAUCCGACGGGAGGGAGCAGUGGGGAAUCUUGCGCAAUGGGCGAAAGCGUGACACAGCCAUGCCGCGUGAAUGAUGAAGGUCUUAGGAUUGUAAAAUUCUUUCAGCGGGGACGAUAAUGAUGGUACCGGGAGAAGAAGCCCCGGCUAACUUCGUG
This 433-nucleotide ribosomal RNA is filed under the name uncultured bacterium. Its description in RNAcentral is "partial 16S ribosomal RNA". It matches the Rfam family "Bacterial small subunit ribosomal RNA", at positions 29 to 507 of the family's 1533-position model. The record is from RNAcentral.